Molecule: ribosomal RNA, 373 nt
Filed under: uncultured eukaryote
Lineage: Eukaryota
Description: partial 18S ribosomal RNA
Rfam family: Eukaryotic small subunit ribosomal RNA
Source: RNAcentral
CAAUAGCGUAUAUUAAAGUUGUUGCAGUUAAAAAGCUCGUAGUUGAAUUUUUGCUUGCCGCCGAUGUCGGAACUUCCGUACGUUCGGCGGCGUGCAUCCUUGGGUGGAACCUAUGUGGCAUUAGGUUGUCGUGCAGGGGAUGCUCAUCGUUUACUGUGAAAAAAUUAGAGUGUUCAAAGCAGGCUUAUGCCGUUGAAUAUAUUAGCAUGGAAUAAUAAGAUAGGACCUUGGUACUAUUUUGUUGGUUUGCGCACCGAGGUAAUGAUUAACAGGGACAGUUGGGGGUAUUUGUAUUCCAUUGUCAGAGGUGAAAUUCUUGGAUUUCUGGAAGACGAACUACUGCGAAAGCAUUUACCAAGGAUGUUUUCAUUAA